GAGAAAAUGAAACAGUGACUUCAGUGUGAGCAGAGCGAGGGAGGGGCCUUGGAAGUGGGCUCAGCCCAGCUUCCACCGGGCUGUUGGUGGCCUGCACUGGGGUCCCUGAGAGCCAGGGCUGCAGAAGCUGGGGCCGGCAAGGCCGGGGUCCCCGCAGCUGGGCAGCACUCACCACUGAGCCACCUGGCCCUGACGGCCAACACAAUGGACACGCCUGGAAGGAGAGGAUGGGCCAGGUGGGAAGGCUGUUCCUGUCUAUUUCCAGCCUGUGCUUUCUCCUCGCCACCCCUGGACCAGUAACCGGGGCCCGGUUUGGGGACCAGCAGGCCACGCUGCUCAUCACGAUUGGCCUCAGGAUGUGCAAAGUGUGUCCCUGCUGUUGUGCAAGGCGUACCUCAUCGGCACGUUGGGCCUCGGUGGGGAAAGAACCCGGUUUGAGGUCAGGAGGAUUUGGAGGCUGUCUGUCUCUGUUUUGGAGCAGCCCUGCCACUCAGAUGCCAGCAGCCACGGGCAGGGCACCUGGCUGAGCCAGGACCUGGCCAUCUGGGCAGCACCUCGCCCUGACCCGGCUUGGCCCGAAGCCUGCGUGGAGUUGGAGUUGCGAGUCCAGUCCUGCCAGUGG
Molecule: long non-coding RNA, 622 nt
Filed under: Heterocephalus glaber (naked mole-rat)
Lineage: Eukaryota; Metazoa; Chordata; Mammalia; Rodentia; Bathyergidae
Description: lncRNA (ENSHGLG00000043529.1)
Source: RNAcentral